UGAUCCUACGGGAGGCAGCAGUAGGGAAUCUUCCACAAUGGACGAAAGUCUGAUGGAGCGACGCCGCGUGAGUGAAGAAGUAUUUCGGUAUGUAAAGCUCUAUCAGCAGGGAAGAAGAAAGACGGUACCUGACUAAGAAGCCCCGGCUAACUACGUGCCAGCAGCCGCGGUAAUACGUAGGGGGCAAGCGUUAUCCGGAUUUACUGGGUGUAAAGGGAGCGUAGACGGCUGUGCAAGUCUGAAGUGAAAGCCCAGGGCUCAACCCUGGGACUGCUUGGGAAACUGUGGAGCUAGAGUGCUGGAGG
RNAcentral lists this ribosomal RNA (305 nucleotides) under uncultured bacterium. RNAcentral's name for it is "bacterial SSU rRNA". It matches the Rfam family "Bacterial small subunit ribosomal RNA", at positions 334 to 655 of the family's 1533-position model. The record is from RNAcentral.